RNAcentral lists this non-coding RNA (160 nucleotides) under Caedimonas sp. Its description in RNAcentral is "6S RNA". It matches the Rfam family "6S / SsrS RNA". Rfam says of the family: E. coli 6S RNA was the first non coding RNA to be sequenced, but its function was unknown until recently. It consists of 184 nucleotides that fold into an extended hairpin structure with a large single-stranded internal bulge. Lineage: Bacteria; Pseudomonadati; Pseudomonadota; Alphaproteobacteria; Holosporales; Caedimonadaceae. The record is from RNAcentral.
AUAGGGCUGUCUCUUCACGUUAGGCAUAACUUCCCAGGGGCCGAUAUUAUUCCUUAGGGAGCCGUCCCUGUCUCGGUCUGAGGACUUUGGCAUAUGGUGCCCACCUGCUUUUGCGGGCCACAUAGGGAUGUAUUCUGUCGACGGUCGUGAAGGCUCUAUU